Long non-coding RNA from Oreochromis niloticus (Nile tilapia), 617 nucleotides. RefSeq lists it as uncharacterized. The transcript has 4 exons. The record is from RefSeq and is a predicted model, not a curated record. NCBI's taxonomy places the organism in Eukaryota, Metazoa, Chordata, Actinopteri, Cichliformes, Cichlidae.
UAAGGGUGCAGACCCUGAAUUGGGAUACAGCCAAGGAGAGGGGCAAGAAAGAAGGAGGAGAAGAGGGAGAGGACAACACCACGCCCACACACUCCCACAGCCUCACAGGAUGUAACAACAAGCGUCACAGAGCAUUGUUGUUUUAAAGCAGGACAUAAAAAGAAGCCUAAUUCUGGGAGUUCAUCCUUUGGACAAUUUGAAGUAAAACAGUUAAAGAUUAGCUGCAUCAGAGAGCAGCAGAGCUGGAUGUGAGGAUGAGGCGCUCUUUGCUCUGCGUGCUGGAGUUACUCUGGCUAAGUACACUCUACUAUGGAAAUGCAGAAGUUCGUAACAGGAUCACAGUAAAACUGCAGCACAGCUGGUCUCAGAUAUUCACUGGUGAGACAAUCACUCUCAGAUGUGAGAUUCAGGGAGGUGAAGGAAAGGUGUGGAAAUAUGAAUGGACAGCACCCAACACAAACAGCCCUCCAACAUCCAGUGAAUACAGGAUCAGCAGAGUUUCAGUGUCCCACAGUGGAGACUACAGAUGUCGGGGUAGCAGUGACUAUCUCUUAACAGGAUGGAGUGAUGCCUUCACACUGACAGUUUCAUGUAAGUUGGACCAUGAUUCAUGCUGA